UACGUAGGGGGCAAGCGUUAUCCGGAAUUAUUGGGCGUAAAGAGUGCGUAGGUGGUUUUGUAAGCGCAGGGUGAGAGGCUACAGCUCAACUGUAGUAGGCCUUGUGAACUGUGAGACCUGAGUGCAGGAGAGGAAAGCGGAAUUCCUAGUGUAGCGGUGGAAUGCGUAGAUAUUAGGAGGAACACCAGUGGCGAAGGCGGCUUUCUGGACUGUAACUGACACUGAGGCACGAAAGCGUGGGGAGCGAACAGG
RNAcentral lists this ribosomal RNA (252 nucleotides) under uncultured bacterium. Its description in RNAcentral is "partial 16S ribosomal RNA". It matches the Rfam family "Bacterial small subunit ribosomal RNA", at positions 524 to 776 of the family's 1533-position model. The record is from RNAcentral.